Oreochromis aureus is the source of this 3014-nucleotide long non-coding RNA. The record is from Ensembl. NCBI's taxonomy places the organism in Eukaryota, Metazoa, Chordata, Actinopteri, Cichliformes, Cichlidae.
CCCAUCAUGGUCUACCUUCAUCGUCUGUUGAUUGUACUUUUUAUACUUCUUUCGAGUUUUCCUUUUUGAUUUUCCAGUGGCUGUAUUUUAUCUUUAGAAGUGGCAGCUCAGUCCAUCGCUCACGUGUAGAAAUGAUCCUUGUUGUUAAACGACGCUCAGAGCCUGCUUCCUCCUGCACACAGACACACAUACACGGGAGUCUUUAGGUGCGAUUUGAGCACUUUGUACUCUGCUUAAGGCUUUAAAAGGCUGUGAAGAAAGACUGUUUAAAUUGUCUUUCCUAUUUGACUUUAGAUGGAAAGUAGAGCUGCUUUUUUAGGAAGUAGCCCAUUUUUGCGCUUCGUUUUAGUCCGUGCUCCUUCAGCGGUAGUCCCACAGUUGGAUGGAUAUCUGCGUCUACCAAUCACAAGAGAGAGGGCUUAUUCUUAUUGUGUUUGCAAGUUUAUGUCAUUUUUGAUUAAUCAGGAAAUUUCUGUGGUUUUUAACGUGGCUCAAAGUGGAAGGAGAAACACCCGUCUUUCACUUUUUAAGCUCUUUUUACAAAGUGUGUUUGGUAAAGAUGAUGAUGUGAUACAUACAGUAUAUCUCUGCUCUCAAUAAGCGUCUGCUUUGGGGUUUGUUUUUUUUAUUAUUUUAAUUGAAAGCUCAUGUAUUAUUGUAUUCGUUAAAGGAAUAGCUGGACAUUUUGGGGGAAUGCAGCUAACCCGCUGUCAUAUCUGUACGGUGAAUGUGAAGCUGGAGUUUAAAGCUAGUUUGGUAUUUCUGGCUUUUUUAUUAGUUUUUUUGUAUAAACUAAACAAACACAAUCUAACUGGUAUUAAUGAGGUGUUAAAGGUCCUGGCUGUCUUAUGUUUUUUAAAUGAAACCAUGCCAGAUGUUCCCCUCUCUACACUCUUUCUGUGCCUGCAGCUUCAUAUUCAUUGUAGGGAUAUGAGACAUUUUACAGAAUACUGGUCAAAAUGUCAGAGUAUUCCUUUGAGAACGAACAGUCUGUAUGAUAGACGGCUUGUGUAACGAGCACUUCGGCUCAGGCAUCGUCCCCUCCCUAGACAACGUGUCCAGCGUCUGCUUGUGUUUUUCGUAUGUUUGCAUGUUUGUUUGUUUGCCAUUGUGGUCGAGUCCCGGCAUUUAAGAAAAAAAAAAAAAAAGCACGUAUCACCGGUCACCUCAUAGAGUCCCGUCACAGUCCGAGUGUAGCGUUACUGCUUUGGGGAGGCAGGCAAAAUGGAUCCUUUUUAUUCUCUGGGAACUGUUUCAGUGCCAAACUCCUGUUUUGUCUGUUUUCAGUGAUGCUGAAAGUCGGUCAGUAUUGUAUGAGAAGCGGAAACGAGCCCAAACUUUGAAGCUUUGUCUUAAAUAGAGAAAAAAAAAAGUCCUGAGUGAUCUGCAGUUCAGGACACUGGAUUGUUUUAAGAGAUAACUGAGUUUUAUAUGUAACACAGAUGUAUAAACACACGUUAAUGUAGGUGUGUGUUUGUGGGGUGUAAGUGGGAAUUUUCACCAGUCAGUCGGCCGUGUUUCCAAACAUCCCCCCCCCCCUUUUUUUUCUCCUUCUUUUUUUUACAUGAAUGUGACCCUUAAAAGAGGAAUUCCUUUAUUUCACUCGUGUAUUUAAAUAUGGAAAAACGUAAAACUGUCCAGUGGCCAAUCUAUCCCCCACGACAAGUCUAAAAAAAAUUUCUCCCCCAUUCUCAGGUUAUUUAAGCUGUCUGAUUCACACAGCGUGUAGCUGUCUGUGCUCAGUUCUGACACUAAAAACCAAAAACAAGUUUGGAUUCCCCAGAUGUCUCUUGGUGUUUAUUUUUCAUUUUAUGUUUAUUCCCUUCUUCCCCCGCCCCCCCCAAACAAAGAUUAAAAAUUUAAUAUAUGAGAAUAAUUUAAUGACUCUGCUGCCACCAGCAUCACUCUCACUGAGGCUCAGACAACAGAUGCUUAUCAGUUUCAGAUAUGUGGAAAUCAUCUUGGGUUACUUUCACAUUCAGUGUAGCCAAGUCUCUACUGCUGCUGCUCUUCAUUUAAACAGGUAUAUAUACACACACAGAUAUAUAGAUAUAUAUAUAUGUAUAUAUAUAGAAAGAGAGAGAGAGAAAAUCGCACACUUGCCUCUUCUUGCUCAAAAAUGUCUUGUGUGUACAUUUUUGAGGAGGACAUCUGAAUAUGCAAUAGAAACACCAUCAUCAUAGCAUAGCAUAACAUUACAUUACUUCUUGUUUUCCUUCAUUUCUUUCCUAUAUAAGCUAUUUACAUACAGGAGACUGACUUUGAUCUCUGCAGGCCAGCUUUUCAGGAUAUUCAGGAAACAAUAAUCAGUCCACCCAGAUUGCACAAAAAACAACAGCCUGUUAGAUGUUUGACUACAAGGUGACCAAAGCAAGUGCAGACAGGACAAAUGUACAGUUUUGUUUCUUUUUACUCUAACGUGGAGGCUUUGGUCGGAUUGUGUAAUACUGUGAAUAGAAUAGGAGUCAGUCUAUUUCACACGCAAACUGUUUGUGAAAGUAAUCAACCAGCUUGAAUCUUUAAAAAUCAGAAAAGAAAAAAAAAUUUGCACUACCCAAAUAUUAUUUGAAAAUCUAUUUUGUAUAAAAACAUAUGCAGACAUUAACUUUUGAGAAUUAUCAAGGGCAGAUCAUCUUUCACUGGUAUAUGCUUUCUCUAAAGAGCUUUUCCGUUUGUUUUUGCUUCCAACCAGUUUAAUAUGUACAUAUAAUCAAUUGUAAAGAAAUAAUGUGGUGUAUUUGUCUCCAAAUAAGAGUUUUUCAGUACCUCCCCCCACCCCCUCUGUAUUAUUUCCACUCUGUAGUGUGAUCCUGUUGAUAUUUUUCCUCCAUCGAUUAAAGUUCAAACCUUUAACGUCUUUGUGUGGUACUUGUCGAAACGGGGACGUGUAUGAUGAUGUUUGCCAUCCAUUGCAGUAAAACUAAACUGUGGAAAUGGUAAUGCUUGGUGCAAGGCCACUUUUCAUGAUCACAGCAAGUACGUGUUCAUCAAAUAAACAUGCUUUUCCAUUCUGA